RNAcentral lists this ribosomal RNA (253 nucleotides) under uncultured bacterium. RNAcentral describes it as "partial 16S ribosomal RNA". It matches the Rfam family "Bacterial small subunit ribosomal RNA", at positions 524 to 776 of the family's 1533-position model. The record is from RNAcentral.
UACGUAGGGUGCGAGCGUUGUCCGGAAUUAUUGGGCGUAAAGAGCUUGUAGGCGGUUUGUCGCGUCUGCCGUGAAAAUCCGAGGCUCAACCUCGGACUUGCGGUGGGUACGGGCAGACUAGAGUGUGGUAGGGGAGACUGGAAUUCCUGGUGUAGCGGUGGAAUGCGCAGAUAUCAGGAGGAACACCAAUAGCGAAGGCAGCUCGCUGGGACGUUACUGACACUGAGGCGCGAAAGCGUGGGGAGCGAACAGG